GGUCUGUCCAGGGUUCGGAAGAUAUUUUGAUAAUCACAGAACAUGAACUAGGGUGCUUAGAGUUAUAGUCCUCAAAGUGGCCACAUCCAAGCUAAAAUGCUUUCAGGAUCAUGAGAACCACCUCUCCUGAUUCUCCGUCUUGCCGUCUCAGGGCAGGGGAGACAUUGCCAUCACGAUUCACAUGGGAAGAUGUCUGAGGUGCCAUCAUCCCUUCUCCCGGGGCAAUGGUUUUCUAUAGAGGCCUUGAUCAGGUAACAGGAGAUCCUGGUUAUUUAAUAAAUUUCAUGCAACUUCCUACCACACAUUCCAAAGCACACCAAAGCCACUCAAACACGAGAAAUGAUUGUACGCCAUAGGAAAGGCGGCUGUCACGAAGUCAAGUCCCAGAGAGGCGAUUUCUACCAAGAAGGUCAUUCUUCCCUACCCCUGGGACAGGGAUGUCCUGAUACCUUGUCCCAGCACAUCCUCCCCACAGAGAAGAAGAAAUGGUCUCAGAGGGCGAGGACUGUUCUGCAGACAUAGUCGGCAGAUGGAAGAGCUGGGACUUAAACCCAAGUUCCAAGGUGCGUGCUCCCUUCUCUCUCUUCUCUCUCUCUGCACCACAAUUCUCUUGUCCAUAA
Molecule: long non-coding RNA, 620 nt
Filed under: Rhinopithecus bieti (black snub-nosed monkey)
Lineage: Eukaryota; Metazoa; Chordata; Mammalia; Primates; Cercopithecidae
Description: lncRNA (ENSRBIG00000045059.1)
Source: RNAcentral